This 348-nucleotide long non-coding RNA is filed under the name Anas platyrhynchos platyrhynchos (common mallard). Its description in RNAcentral is "lncRNA (ENSAPLG00000019172.1)". The record is from RNAcentral. Lineage: Eukaryota; Metazoa; Chordata; Aves; Anseriformes; Anatidae.
UUUUUUUUUUUCCUUCUUAUUUAUUUGUUUAUUUGUCUCUUUGGAGGUCUGGCACAUCCAGUCCUGUGUGGGAUCUCCAUGCAGAAGAUGUAGAACACCCUGUGCAUAUCUGAACAUCGAUAGGUUUUCAAGAAUAAAAGACAGGAGCCAGAGUGGCUGCACCAAAACACUCAUGGAAAGCAGUAUUAUCAAUUAUCCCAUGUAUUCAAGAGCUGCAAUUCCUGGUAAUUAACACCAAGCAUUCAUUGCAGAGGACAGGACUGAACAAGGGGAAAUAGCUGCCGGAAACAUGAAAAUCUCAAGUUAAAUUGUACCUUUGAAUAAAAGAGAUCCAUACAUUGAAGAUCA